AAACCAGACAGUGGUGAGGGAUCAGUUAUCAGCGGCUGAGGGAAAACGAUUGGCACUAUUGUAGGUACGGCAGAUUUGGUUCCGAUGAUCCCGCUUCGGCGGUGACGCCCUCGGGCCGUAUCCCACCAGCGGUCACUUGAUUGUGAAUUGAGGACUUUGAUUCGAGACGGUGUCUCGACGAGGAUUUAUUCGGAUACGAUCUUUCUUAGUGGAGGCGGGUACUUUGACUUAUGUCUUUUGAUAUGCAUAAUAAAGUGUUUAACAUAUAGCAAUGAUUGUGUUAUCCUUUUGAUUCGGUUGGUCACUACAUGAUCUGUUACAUGUUGUUUGU
This is a long non-coding RNA of Zingiber officinale, 331 nucleotides long. RefSeq lists it as uncharacterized. NCBI's taxonomy places the organism in Eukaryota, Viridiplantae, Streptophyta, Magnoliopsida, Zingiberales, Zingiberaceae. The record is from RefSeq and is a predicted model, not a curated record. The transcript is spliced from 4 exons.